UGAUGUUCGUCCUAGCUGUUGCUUUUUACA
This 30-nucleotide non-coding RNA is filed under the name Rattus norvegicus (Norway rat). The record is from RNAcentral. Lineage: Eukaryota; Metazoa; Chordata; Mammalia; Rodentia; Muridae.